AUGGUAUAUAGCGAUUGUUAUCUAGAUUUCAUAAAUUGUAUGGAAGUUGUGUCGCGGUGUUUCUUUUCAAUGAUAAUUUCACUGGAGUGAAUCAUUAAGGGAGUUUUGUGAAGCAUAUAAUAUUAUAAUACAAAUAUGUCUGCCUGUCUCCAUGGAUGUAAUUAUAUUCAAAGUUUUAUUUCAUAAAGUUAAGACUUACAGACUUUUCAGGUAUAAACAAGUGGAAAUUUAACUGAAUUGUAUGUGACUUGUUGAUUAUUGAACAUUCGUGAAGGAGUUGUCUUCAAAAUGCUUUGAUGUAAAGAUUUUAAACUAGCACAUUAUGUAGAUAUGUAUAUAUAGGGUAUUGAAACAGAAUGAUCAUUAUUAAGUGGAUACUUUCAUUAGAAAUUACAUGGAUUAAUUGGUAUAAUUAUCUCGUUUGGAGUGUUUCUUAACGUGCCAAUCAUAUUUUCAAUUAAGUAACGGAAGUGACAAAGUGUGAACAAAAAACAUGGAAACAAGCAUAUCAAGGCUUUUGUCUCGCUGCCAAUUAUAGACAGGGUAAUUAUUGUUUGAAUUGAGACACAAAUUCUGACUGUAAUGAGUGUUCAAUUGUGUUUAAGUCGACAGCUGAUUGGAUGUCGACUUUCAGUUUUGGAUUUUAAAUCGGAUAAAUAAAGUCAAACGACAAAGUUGACAGUUUAAUGAACGAUUCUGAACAAUACACAGAAAUUAUUCAAAUUUGUGUGAAUGUUAUAAACUAAUGGAGAAUAAUUAUAAUAACCGACAGUACAUGGUGAAAAUGAGUGUUUUAAUAGAAUGUGUUCAUUAAUAAUUCAAACAACAAAAGUGAUAUACUAUACUUAUGAUACACACAGUUUUGUGGUGAAAAGGAUGCGUAAGUGAUUGAUAAUAGUAAUACAUAUAGUAAAUACAUGCGCUGAACGCUAAACUUGAAGCCAGGAUGCAUAUGGAAGGCAGUCGUAGCGAGAUUAAACGUCGACACCCACAUCGACAGUUACACAUAAAUCCGGUUAAUCGCCGGUCAUGGCCCAUGGGACCAAGCUCGCCACUUAGAUUAAAGGUAA
Long non-coding RNA from Mya arenaria, 1070 nucleotides. RefSeq lists it as uncharacterized. The record is from RefSeq and is a predicted model, not a curated record. The transcript has 2 exons. NCBI's taxonomy places the organism in Eukaryota, Metazoa, Mollusca, Bivalvia, Myida, Myidae.